RNAcentral lists this non-coding RNA (28 nucleotides) under Cricetulus griseus (Chinese hamster). The record is from RNAcentral. Lineage: Eukaryota; Metazoa; Chordata; Mammalia; Rodentia; Cricetidae.
AUCUGCAUUGGUGGUUCAGUGGUAGAAU